CUCCGUGAAAAAAUCUCUAAGGUAACAUGCAAUUACCCGCUUCAAUGGUUUAACAAUCAGCCUAAAAUAAUAAAGUUAAGAACAUUUUGAUUAUAUUUUGUGAUUCAAACUGUUAAUAUCAUUGACAUACCGUAUUUAAAGAAUUAAAUAAUAAUGGAUGUU
This is a long non-coding RNA of Cydia amplana, 162 nucleotides long. RefSeq lists it as uncharacterized. Lineage: Eukaryota; Metazoa; Arthropoda; Insecta; Lepidoptera; Tortricidae. The transcript has 2 exons. The record is from RefSeq and is a predicted model, not a curated record.